GCCUCGGUAACUCAGGGGUAGAGUGACUGCUUCGUAAGCAGUAAGUCGGGGGUUCAAAUCCCUCCCGGGGCU
RNAcentral lists this transfer RNA (72 nucleotides) under Microcaldota archaeon. Its description in RNAcentral is "tRNA-Thr". It matches the Rfam family "tRNA". From Rfam's summary of the family: Transfer RNA (tRNA) molecules are approximately 80 nucleotides in length. Their secondary structure includes four short double-helical elements and three loops (D, anti-codon, and T loops). Further hydrogen bonds mediate the characteristic L-shaped molecular structure. tRNAs have two regions of fundamental functional importance: the anti-codon, which is responsible for specific mRNA codon recognition, and the 3' end, to which the tRNAs corresponding amino acid is attached (by aminoacyl-tRNA synthetases). tRNAs cope with the degeneracy of the genetic code in two manners: having more than one tRNA (with a specific anti-codon) for a particular amino acid; and 'wobble' base-pairing, i.e. permitting non-standard base-pairing at the 3rd anti-codon position. Lineage: Archaea; Nanobdellati; Microcaldota. The record is from RNAcentral.